Molecule: ribosomal RNA, 253 nt
Filed under: uncultured bacterium
Lineage: Bacteria
Description: partial 16S ribosomal RNA
Rfam family: Bacterial small subunit ribosomal RNA
Source: RNAcentral
UACGGGGGGGGCAAGCGUUGUUCGGAAUUACUGGGCGUAAAGGGCUCGUAGGUGGCCAACUAAGUCGGACGUGAAAUCCCUCAGCUUAACUGGGGAACUGCGUCCGAUACUGGAUGGCUCGAGUUUGGGAGAGGGAUGCGGAAUUCCAGGUGUAGCGGUGAAAUGCGUAGAUAUCGGGAGGAACACCAAUUGCGAAGGCAGCUCGCUGGGACGUCACUGACGCUGAGACGCGAAAGCGUGGGGAGCAAACAGG